CUCCUGAGCAGCAGCAGCAGCUGAGGGAUUAGGGGAAGAAAAACCUGUUGGAAACAUGAAAAUAGCUGGGUCAACAGGCAGAGGAGCAUCAAAAAUCUACGUUUAUAUGCCUGCGUGUUCGUAGGAGAGAAGGUGGCAAUGCUAGAGGGGGAAGGGAAGAAAAAAGGAGAAACAGAGCGAGAAGGGACCACCUCUGAAGCUAGGAGCAUUGCCGAAGGCAAACCAAGCAGCAGUGAGAUCACAAAUGACAUCAUAACAAGGGCUUUGUUAUGCUAUCAGCAGCGAAGGGGCUGCUUUGCUGGACGUGAGAGGGCCAAGGCAAAGAUGGUAACAGCCACACACGUGAAGAAGGUACUCUUUGCCCAUAUUGGAGAUGGUGUAUGAAGAAACAAACAACAACAACAAUUGCUGAAGCCAAGCAAAGUGCAGAUUCUGUUAAGACACUGGCAGGUAAGACCAUCACUCGAGGCUGAACCCAGUGACACAGUGGAGGACAUAAAAGCCAAGAUUCAAGACAAGAAGCGUGUCCUGGCUCACCACCAGUGCCUGGUUUUUACAGGCAAACAGCUAGCGGAUGGCCUACCCUCUGGGACUAUAGCAUCCCAAAGGAGUGUCUACAUUAUCCCUGGCGCUGAGUCUGUGGGGUGGCGCCUCUGAAGCGCCCCAAUGCCAGCUCCUGCAAUGCUCUAGCUAUGAAAAAGGGAACCCAGAGCUUGCCUGCACCACUCUCCAUGGCUGUGGCCGCCCGUAAACUGAGUGAGAAGAAAUGCAGCCCAGGCAGAAGAUCAGCCUUCCCUCACCUCAGCCUCAAGGGCAGCCUCCAUCCCAGCCUUGCGUCCCUGGAUCAUAAUAGUUUCUUUUCCAUGGACUGGGGGGGAGGGGGCUGAAGGCAGAAGGGAAUAAGGACUAUCCAAGAGACCUGCAAGGAUGAUUUGUAGAGUGGUCCCGGAGGUGGCGCAGUGGUAAAGCUUUGGACUCUCAAGCAUGAGGUCCCGAGUUCCAUCCCCGGCAGCACAUGUGCCAGAGUGAUGUCUGGUUCUUUCUCUCUUUCCUCCUUUCUCAUUAAUAAAUAAAAUCUUUA
Molecule: long non-coding RNA, 1081 nt
Organism: Erinaceus europaeus (western European hedgehog)
Lineage: Eukaryota; Metazoa; Chordata; Mammalia; Eulipotyphla; Erinaceidae
Exons: 3
Source: RefSeq, a predicted model, not a curated record